CCGCUGCCCUCCUUGGGCGUUUCCUCCCUAGACUUCGGGCCGCUCUUUCGGGCGGCUUUUUUUUGU
This 66-nucleotide small RNA is filed under the name uncultured Methylobacterium sp. Its description in RNAcentral is "Makes More Granules Regulator RNA (mmgR)". The stretch from base 6 to 64 matches the Rfam family "Makes More Granules Regulator RNA (mmgR)", at positions 8 to 68 of the family's 77-position model. From Rfam's summary of the family: SuhB later renamed mmgR (makes more granules regulator) was a putative non-coding RNA found multiple times in the Agrobacterium tumefaciens genome and related alpha-proteobacteria. Lineage: Bacteria; Pseudomonadati; Pseudomonadota; Alphaproteobacteria; Hyphomicrobiales; Methylobacteriaceae. The record is from RNAcentral.